Megalobrama amblycephala (Wuchang bream) is the source of this 1396-nucleotide long non-coding RNA. RefSeq lists it as uncharacterized. The transcript is spliced from 3 exons. The record is from RefSeq and is a predicted model, not a curated record. NCBI's taxonomy places the organism in Eukaryota, Metazoa, Chordata, Actinopteri, Cypriniformes, Xenocyprididae.
UUCAGUUAAUCAAUAUUCAAACUUUAUUUCCCUAAAAUAUACUACAACUGUUUCGUGGUCAGAACAAAAGCAGUCACUAUCUCUUCUGAAUUUAAAAUGACAAAUGCUUUUGUUAUGUUUGCAAAUUUUCAAAUUUCAUUCUGGUGAUCCAUUCUUUCUUUCUCUAUCUCUCUUUGUUUCUUCUGGCUGCUUCAGUGGAUCAUCCUUAUAUCAAUUUGGCACAGAUUUUACAACAAAUUCCUUUCCUGGUGCGACCAAGCACUGAGAAUGCACUCAUGCAACUCCAGUGACUGUCAGUCUAAAAAUCCAUUAACCACGUAACCCACUUAAUUAAUUAUUUAAAUAUAUUUUUCCUUGUUAUCUAUAACCUCCAUAUUUGAUUCACUCUGUCAUAUAUUGUUAUUAUACUCUCAUAUAUAUAUACACCUACUCUUCCUUUAUACUUCAUUUAUAUCUUUAACCUUUAUAGUUCAGUUAUAUCUUUUAAUACCUUUUAAUAUUGUAAUCCUAUUUCUCAAUAUGUCUGUCCUCAUUUAGGAAUAUGUAUCUUGUUAUCUGUCAAACUUCAAUCAUAUUUUCACUUAGGUCACAAACUUGUUCAUAAGUCUUUUGUUUAUUAUUACGUUCUGUUUCUCCUAGUACUGCCCCUCUCUCAUUCAAGCUUUAUUAUUGCCACAGAUAUUACUGUGUUUUCUUUAGAAUUGUCUGGUUGGGUAAAAAGGUUAAGUCCUCACAACUUUUCUACAUUUUAACUAAAUCAGGAAUCAGUCCAAUUUAUUUACCUUUUAAUUUGGCAUAAUCUAUUUUUUUCCCAUUAAAAAUAGUUUUACACUUUUGCUGGGAUGUCUGGUAAAAUUCUCAUUCCUCAUUUUACAGAGUGACCUUGACACUCCCGUGAGCUCUGCGUUCUGGGCUGUGCCUGGAAAUGACUCUCUUAUCUCGGCUUGUUUCUCCUGCUUCAAAAUUAAAUCUUCAGUGCACAUAUUUUUUUACCAACAAUUAUACUUUUUAAACAAAUCUCUUUUUUUUUUUCUUUUCCUUUUUCUAACUUUUUGUCACUGACAGCUGUUACAACAUAAGAUAUCUAUUUUCCUUUUAUUACCAUUUAUUAAUUUUAAUUUUUGUAUUUGAGGCACUUUUUAAAUCUUCGUCAUAUGAGCUUCUGACUUUGGUCCCAACUUUUCAGCUUGGAAUAUCUUUUACAAAGAACUGCUAACAUUUUAUUAACAAAAACAAUCAAGCACAAUGGAUUUUCUCUAUUGCCAGUUUCUUUUCAAACAGACCCUCGGUUUGAGCAAUACGGUUAAGGGUGAACACCGAGCUGACUUUAUCUGUCCGGUCCCGGAGUCUGGAGGAAGAGAGGAGAGGCGCACAAUCCACGUUGCUUGAGGUCCAG